This 94-nucleotide transfer RNA is filed under the name Methanosarcina sp. WH1. RNAcentral's name for it is "tRNA-Arg". The record is from RNAcentral. RNAcentral also lists the same sequence under 1 other name. Lineage: Archaea; Methanobacteriati; Methanobacteriota; Methanomicrobia; Methanosarcinales; Methanosarcinaceae.
GGGCUCGUAGGGUAGCCAGGAUAUCCUAAUGGGCUUCGAAGUAAAAUUAUUACGAAGAUACCCAUUGACUCGUGUUCGAAUCGCGGCGGGCCCG